Long non-coding RNA from Zingiber officinale, 313 nucleotides. RefSeq lists it as uncharacterized. Lineage: Eukaryota; Viridiplantae; Streptophyta; Magnoliopsida; Zingiberales; Zingiberaceae. The transcript has 3 exons. The record is from RefSeq and is a predicted model, not a curated record.
GCUGAGCAUACCUCUUCGCCAUUUUUGGGGGUUUCCGAUACUGAGUUAGGUUAAGUGGCUCACUGUGAGGAGCUCGGCUACAACUCCCAGCAGUUAUUCUUCAUCCGAGAAGCAUUAGGUAGCAGGUAAAGGGUUUAUGGAGUCGCCUGGAGAUCCUGUCCGCCAGUUCCACAUCACAUUCAAGGACAUUCUUAUGAUUUUGGUAUUCUUACACUAUUUGUAUUUGGUUUCGUUUCUUGUUCUGGUGUUAUUUAUCUUGUAUUUGGUUUGAUAUUAUUGUGUCAAGCCGAGCCGGCUCGCAGUUAGUUACUUU